RNAcentral lists this microRNA (21 nucleotides) under Tribolium castaneum (red flour beetle). Its description in RNAcentral is "tca-miR-3840-5p". The record is from miRBase by way of RNAcentral. Lineage: Eukaryota; Metazoa; Arthropoda; Insecta; Coleoptera; Tenebrionidae.
AGGGGGUACUGUAAGUACGUA